This 456-nucleotide long non-coding RNA is filed under the name Elaeis guineensis (African oil palm). RNAcentral describes it as "long non-coding RNA (EGUI_LNC007113)". The record is from RNAcentral. Lineage: Eukaryota; Viridiplantae; Streptophyta; Magnoliopsida; Arecales; Arecaceae.
UGCCUUUUAAUCAAUUUGUGAUCUUCUCCUUUGCCCAUAAUUCAUGACAUGACGUUCCUACAUAUCAUGUCAAAAAAAUAACAAUAAUGAUGCAAUGAUGAUGACAAACCUCAUAUCUACUAUCUUUAAUUUAUGCCUCUUCCUGUUUGUCUCACCUUUGCAACUUUUGUUAGCCUAACCAAGUAAAGCAGUAGAUCAAAAAUUGAACAAAAUUCAGGAUUUGCUUCAGUACUCCUUAUUUUUGACAACUUCUAACCAGUCUUCAUCAUCCAACUAACGUGGAGCAAAGAAGGUAAUUUGCUUAUUAACCGGUUCAGCUGGUUACCAAUUUUAGAGGGGCAGAAAGAGAUAGCGAUAGAGAUAUCAGAAAAUAGAUUUCCCCAAGAAAGGAGAAAAAAGAGAAAGGGAAGGAGAGAAGUAAAAACAUACAAAUGGAGGCACAAGGGAGAGGGUGCA